This 664-nucleotide long non-coding RNA is filed under the name Carica papaya (papaya). RNAcentral describes it as "long non-coding RNA (CPAP_LNC001417)". Lineage: Eukaryota; Viridiplantae; Streptophyta; Magnoliopsida; Brassicales; Caricaceae. The record is from RNAcentral.
GCCACGUCAGCAGCCACGUCAGCAGCCCGGUCAGCAGUCUCGGCUAACUAGGACACACCGCCUGGCAAAGAAACGCUGACACGGGACGGGCCACGUGGGCGAUCCGCGUGCGCGCGAUCGAACGACCCAGAUCCAUUCCCGCGCGCACGGACGGCCCAGAUCGCAUCGCGAUGGACAGUCCAGAUUUAAUCCCAAAUAAAUCGCGACCGGACAGUCCAGAUUUAAUCUUGAUGGACGGUUGAGAUUAAAAGGAGAAGGGUAUAAAUAACCCCACCCACACCUGACCACAAAACCCUAGCCGCCAGUGCCUCGUCGGAGAAGAAGAACCAGACGCCAGAGGAGCCGGCCGCCGCCACCUGCCGCCGCACUGGAGAAUUUUCCGACCUCCAAUCGAGGUAAAUUUUCUCCUCUUGGCUCGUUUUUCGAUGUUGAAUCCGCUAAUGACCAAACCGGAGCCAAACCACCAGCCAAUCGGCUGGAAAACCCUGCCGAAGUCCAGCGGUGCCGCCGCGGCUUCCCUCUGUUUUUGGCUCUGAUGAGGCCCUUCCCGGUCUCCGUUCGAUGCAAUUUUUAUACCAUUGUGAUCACUGUUCUUUUCUCUACAGGUUGACCGGAGCAAAACAUCAAAAUGCGACUCACGCCGGAGAAGCCGUCGUACCCGAGA